UCCAAAGGGAAGGACGGGAGCAUAGUGAGACUAAAAUGCUUGUCAUGCCCACAUGAAGGCCUGAGUUCAGUCCCCAGCACUCACAAAUCAGGUCAGACAAGGUGGGAAUCCUAGCUCUGGGGAGGCAGAAGCAGGAUUGCUGGCGAGGGUUGCUCCGCGAGGCUAGCCAAGUUGGAAGAUCCAAGGCCUGGAGGGUCCACAGCCACCUUGUGAUGAUGGGAACAGAAGUCAUGUGUUGUAGAUGCUACAGCAGGACCGUGGAAGUCUGGACCCUUGACCGUGUCCUCCAGCAGUACCUAAGCUGUGAUCUGUCUGCCUCUGGAGUUCCGGAUCUAUAUGAACAAUAAAUCCUAACAUGUAUAGA
Molecule: long non-coding RNA, 364 nt
Organism: Myodes glareolus (Bank vole)
Lineage: Eukaryota; Metazoa; Chordata; Mammalia; Rodentia; Cricetidae
Source: RefSeq, a predicted model, not a curated record